RNAcentral lists this transfer RNA (37 nucleotides) under Datura stramonium (jimsonweed). RNAcentral's name for it is "partial tRNA-His". Lineage: Eukaryota; Viridiplantae; Streptophyta; Magnoliopsida; Solanales; Solanaceae. The record is from RNAcentral. RNAcentral also lists the same sequence under 14 other names.
GCGGAUGUAGCCAAGUGGAUCAAGGCAGUGGAUUGUG